Long non-coding RNA from Tigriopus californicus, 687 nucleotides. RefSeq lists it as uncharacterized. The transcript has 2 exons. NCBI's taxonomy places the organism in Eukaryota, Metazoa, Arthropoda, Copepoda, Harpacticoida, Harpacticidae. The record is from RefSeq and is a predicted model, not a curated record.
UGUCGACUUUCUUCAAGCCUCCGCGCAAAGAAUGCCCUUGCAAUUGAAUAAAUAGCUAUUCUUUACAACGGCGCAAGAACAAACGUUGGGAGUGGGUUUACUAGCGCUGUAUUUCCUUUUCUUUGCGCCUCAAGAUGUCUCAUUACGAAACUAGUAGUCCCUAUUCACUGAAUUUCUUCCAGACACUAGCUUGGUGUCGUCAGCAUAAGAGUAUCCAAGGAGAUUACAGACUCAAGGGUAAUUCGUGCAGUGGUGCGAUAAAGAGUAUGAGGAGGAUUGGUGAUUGGUACUAGGAUGGUGCCUUUUGGAACUCCGGAUAUCACUUGACAAGUGCGACUUAAGCACCCUUCAACCAACUUGCACAACUUGGAUUUGUUUGUUUAGUUGAUGUGAGGCAAGGAUACCUUUAACAGGAGGAAUGGACAUGGCAACUGGCGAUGCUAGGCCACUUGAUGCCACUUUGUGAUAGCAAUAUUUCAGCUCCCCAAAAGUCACCAGGGAUCCUACCAUACAUUAUGGAAAGCAAAGUACUCGUAUUGGCGGUCACGCACCAUUGUCCAGAUCUCGGCCCAAUGCCUUCAACGACGGGAACUGACAAAGGUCCUGUUAAAUCUGACCCAUUCACUCUACUGUAAUAACCAAGAUUUUAAUCAUUUACCUCCAAUAUAUUAAUGUAAUAUAUUAUGA